RNAcentral lists this ribosomal RNA (611 nucleotides) under Saprospiraceae bacterium. Its description in RNAcentral is "partial 23S ribosomal RNA". It matches the Rfam family "Bacterial large subunit ribosomal RNA", at positions 2299 to 2925 of the family's 2925-position model. The record is from RNAcentral. Lineage: Bacteria; Pseudomonadati; Bacteroidota; Saprospiria; Saprospirales; Saprospiraceae.
AACGGAGGCUUGCAAAGGUGCCCUCAGCAUGGACGGUAAUCAUGCGAAGAGCGUAUUAGUAUAAGGGCGCUUGACUGAGAGAGCGACGGCUCGACCAGGUACGAAAGUAGGCUAAAGUGAUCCGGUGGUUCCGCAUGGAAGGGCCAUCGCUCAAAGGAUAAAAGGUACGCCGGGGAUAACAGGCUGAUCUCCCCCAAGAGCUCAUAUCGACGGGGAGGUUUGGCACCUCGAUGUCGGUUCGUCACAUCCUGGGGCUGAAGAAGGUCCCAAGGGUUCGGCUGUUCGCCGAUUAAAGUGGCACGUGAACUGGGUUCAGAACGUCGCAAGACAGUUCGGUCUCUAUCUGUGGUGGGCGUUGUAAUAUUGAAGGGAACUGACUCUAGUACGAGAGGACCGAGUUGGACGUACCUCUAGUGUAUCUGUUGUGCCGCCAGGUGCAAUGCAGAGUAGCUAUGUACGGACUAGAUAAGCGCUGAAAGCAUCUAAGCGCGAAGCUAUCCUUAAGAUGAGUAUUACUGGGGUCGUAGAAGACGACUACGUUGAUAGGCUAUAGGUGUAAGCGUAGUAAUACGUUCAGCUGAGUAGUACUAAUUACCCCUUAGCUUCCUUUU